Long non-coding RNA from Lathyrus oleraceus (garden pea), 1309 nucleotides. RefSeq lists it as uncharacterized. NCBI's taxonomy places the organism in Eukaryota, Viridiplantae, Streptophyta, Magnoliopsida, Fabales, Fabaceae. The record is from RefSeq and is a predicted model, not a curated record. The transcript is spliced from 2 exons.
UAAAUUGCUUUAUCUUUAGUUACUUCUUUAAAGAUUAUUAUCUCUAACUAAUAUUUUUUGAUUUUUUCGUGUAGAUGGUCUGCACGUGGUAUGAAUUACAACAGAUGUCCAAGACAUUGUAUUACUCAGUAUCGCAACCUGUUGGAUCACCUUCGACCGACAGACUUCAUUUGGCGUCCAUACCUUAAUUUGGAUCAUGACCAUCAGGUCAUCGCUGAAGACGCGGUCGUAUGGACUGCAUGCACACCGAUAAUACGGUUCACAACUGUGGAGAUGCACAACAGUGAUCGUGUGAAGCUGCAGUUCGGUAUGCCCCAAAACAUCCCAGAUCCCCUAGCUAGCCUAGGAGAAUGACAUCUACGUAAAGUUAACGACCAAGGGAACUUCAAUCCAUUGCAAAGCUUCGCAAGAUCGGAGUGUCGCAAAUGGAAGCACCGUUAUGACCAUGUGUUAACUGACGCAGUCAUGCCAACUGAAGAAAAAUCAAGUCGUACUUAUAUGGCUUGGUACAAAUCGGUUGGUUUUCAGUUCAUCGUUGAGGAUAUGUACUUGUACGACCCACACCAGAUGACUUACACACCUGACACCUUAACAUCAAACCCCCAACAACAAUGUCAGACCAGAUACACACAACCCUCUGUCCGUCAAACGUUCCGUUCAACCAACACACAAACAUACAACCAAAACACACCAUACACCUAACCCCAAUACCAAGAGCAUACCCCAUACCACCAACAACAAAUUGACUAUCAACAUGAGACUCAAUAUCGCUUCGCACCCACCCCAUCACCCUACCAAAGUCGCCUAAGCCAGAACAUCCAAUGAUCAUUCAAAAUCAACCGCCCCUCCUCCUACCAUAGCCAAGAAGCUUAAAUCUCACAAAACCAAAACAUCCAACAACCAUAUCUCUACCAAACACCCCAACAACCUUUCCUCGACGCAUCGUUCACACCCAUGUCUCCCUUCAACCGUCCCAGUCGCCCAUCAAUGAGUCAACCACAACCCAACUUCUCUGGCAUGAGUCAUGAGCUCAACUAUAGAGGUACACCAUCGAUGCAUACUGAAGACUAUGUCGACUUGUCUGACUACUUCAACAGACCUUCUCCUGUAGUUUGAAGUGACGCUCCUGACCCCUCAGAUGCUCAAACACCGGUACCGAAUCAUCAACGUGGGUUAGGGCCACGGGUUAGGGUAGCUAGAGGAUGUGGGACCGGAGGUCGGUUAGGUGAUCCAGGUCAUCACCAUUAGGUUUUUUUGUGUAAACGACAAAUUUUAUUAACAUCAAUUGGUCCUAUAUCAAAUUUAUCUA